CAAUAGCGUAUAUUAAAGUUGUUGCGGUUAAAAAGCUCGUAGUUGGAUUUCUGCUGAGAACGACCGGUCCGCCCUUUGGGUGUGUAUCUGGCUCUUUCUUGGCAUCUUCUUGGUGAACGUUGCUGCACUUGACUGUGUGGAGCGCUACCCAGGACUUUUACUUUGAGGAAAUUAGAGUGUUUCAAGCAGGCAUACGCCUUGAAUACAUUAGCAUGGAAUAAUAAGAUAGGACCUCGGUUCUAUUUUGUUGGUUUCUAGAGCUGAGGUAAUGAUUAAUAGGGAUAGUGGGGGCAUUCGUAUUUAACUGUCAGAGGUGAAAUUCUUGGAUUUGUUAAAGGCGGACUACUGCGAAAGCAUUUGCCAAGGAUGUUUUCAUUGA
Molecule: ribosomal RNA, 379 nt
Filed under: uncultured eukaryote
Lineage: Eukaryota
Description: partial 18S ribosomal RNA
Rfam family: Eukaryotic small subunit ribosomal RNA
Source: RNAcentral